RNAcentral lists this ribosomal RNA (369 nucleotides) under uncultured bacterium. Its description in RNAcentral is "bacterial SSU rRNA". It matches the Rfam family "Bacterial small subunit ribosomal RNA", at positions 527 to 898 of the family's 1533-position model. The record is from RNAcentral.
GGAGGGUGCAAGCGUUAUCCGGAUUCACUGGGUUUAAAGGGUGCGUAGGUGGGUAGGUAAGUCAGUGGUGAAAUCCCCGAGCUUAACUUGGGAACUGCCGUUGAUACUAUCUAUCUUGAAUAUCGAGUAGGUAAGCGGAAUAUGUCAUGUAGCGGUGAAAUGCUUAGAUAUGACAUAGAACACCAAUUGCGAAGGCAGCUUACUUCAAGAUUAUUGACACUGAGGCACGAAAGCGUGGGGAUCAAACAGGAUUAGAUACCCUGGUAGUCCACGCCCUAAACGAUGGAUACUCGACAUCAGCGAUAUACUGUUGGUGUCUGAGCGAAAGCAUUAAGUAUCCCACCUGGGAAGUACGACCGCAAGGUUGAA